UGUUAGAAGAGAGAGGGGAGGAGGAAGCUCGGGAGGAGAGUUUUUUUUUUUUUUUUUUAGAGCGGGCUACCUGCAGUCGACGGUGAACUCGCUGGAGUGGAUCAGUGGCGAACGGGUGAGUAACACGUGAGCAACCUGCCCCAAACUCUGGAAUAAGCGCUGGAAACGGCGUCUAAUACUGGAUACGAGACCAACCUGCAUGGGUAUGGUUUGGAAAGUUUUUCGGUUUGGGAUGGGCUCGCGGCCUAUCGUUGGUGAGGUAAUGGCUCACCAAGGCGACGACGGGUAGCCGGCCUGAAAGGGCGACCGGCCACACUGGGACUGAGACACGGCCCAGACUCCUACGGGAGGCAGCAGUGGGGAAUAUUGCACAAUGGGCGAAAGCCUGAUGCAGCGACGCCGCGUGAGGGAUGACGGCCUUCGGGUUGUAAACCUCUUUCAGCAGGGAAGAAGCGAAAGUGACGGUACCUGCAGAAGAAGCACCGGCUAACUACGUGCCAGCAGCCGCGGUAAUACGUAGGGUGCGAGCGUUGUCCGGAAUUAUUGGGCGUAAAGGUAGGCGGUUUGUCGCGUCUGCUGUGAAAAUCCGGGGCUCAACCCCGGACUUGCAGUGGGUACGGGCAGACUAGAGUGUGGUAGGGGAGACUGCUGGUGUAGCGGUGAAAUGCGCAGAUAUCAGGAGGAACACCGAUGGCGAAGGCAGGUCUCUGGGCCACUACUGACGCUGAGAAGCGAAAGCAUGGGGAGCGAACAGGAUUAGAUACCCUGGUAGUCCAUGCCGUAAACGUUGGGAACUAGGUGUGGGUCUCAUUCCACGAGAUCCGUGCCGCAGCUAACGCAUUAAGUUCCCCGCCUGGGGAGUACGGCCGCAAGGCUAAAACUCAAAGGAAUUGACGGGGGCCCGCACAAGCGGCGGAGCAUGCGGAUUAAUUCGAUGCAACGCGAAGAACCUUACCAAGGCUUGACAUAUACCGGAAACUUCCAGAGAUGGUUGCCCCUUUUAGGUCGGUAUACAGGUGGUGCAUGGUUGUCGUCAGCUCGUGUCGUGAGAUGUUGGGUUAAGUCCCGCAACGAGCGCAACCCUCGUUCUAUGUUGCCAGCACGUAAUGGUGGGGACUCAUGA
This 1123-nucleotide ribosomal RNA is filed under the name Janibacter limosus. Its description in RNAcentral is "bacterial SSU rRNA". It matches the Rfam family "Bacterial small subunit ribosomal RNA", at positions 79 to 1144 of the family's 1533-position model. The record is from RNAcentral. Lineage: Bacteria; Bacillati; Actinomycetota; Actinomycetes; Micrococcales; Intrasporangiaceae.